GACGAAGGGGGCUAGCGUUGUUCGGAAUUACUGGGCGUAAAGGGCGCGCAGGCGGUCUUGCAAGUCGGGCGUUAAAGACCUGGGCUUAACCCGGGGAAUGCGUUCGAUACUGCAAGGCUUGAGAUCGAGAGAGGAGAGUGGAAUUCCCAGUGUAGAGGUGAAAUUCGUAGAUAUUGGGAAGAACACCGGUGGCGAAGGCGGCUCUCUGGCUCGAUUCUGACGCUGAGGCGCGAAAGCGUGGGGAGCAAACAGG
Molecule: ribosomal RNA, 253 nt
Filed under: uncultured bacterium
Lineage: Bacteria
Description: partial 16S ribosomal RNA
Rfam family: Bacterial small subunit ribosomal RNA
Source: RNAcentral